CCAACAGGGAUUACCUCAGUAACGGCGAGUGAAGCGGUAACAGCUCAAAUUUGAAAUCUGGCUCUUUCAGGGUCCGAGUUGUAAUUUGUAGAAGAUGCUUCGGGUGUGGCCCCGGUCUAAGUUCCUUGGAACAGGACGUCAUAGAGGGUGAGAAUCCCGUAUGUGACUGGGUGCCUUCGCUCAUGUGAAGCUCUUUCGACGAGUCGAGUUGUUUGGGAAUGCAGCUCAAAAUGGGUGGUAAAUUUCAUCUAAAGCUAAAUAUUGGCCAGAGACCGAUAGCGCACAAGUAGAGUGAUCGAAAGAUGAAAAGCACUUUGGAAAGAGAGUUAAACAGUACGUGAAAUUGUUGAAAGGGAAGCGCUUGCAACCAGACUUGCACGUUGUCGAUCAUCCGGGGCUCGCCCCGGUGCACUCGAUUUCGUUCAGGCCAGCAUCGGUUUCGGUGGUGGGAUAAAGGCCUUGGGAAUGUAGCUUCUUUCGGGGAGUGUUAUAGCCCUCGGUGCAAUGCCGCCUACCGGGACCGAGGACCGCGCUUCGGCUAGGAUGCUGGCGUAAUGGUUGUAAGCGACCCGUCUUGAAACACGGACCAAGGAGUCUAACAUCUAUGCGAGUGUUUGGGUGUCAAACCCAUACGCGUAAUGAAAGUGAACGGAGGUGAGAACCCUUAAGGGUGCAUCAUCGACCGAUCCUGAUGUCUUCGGAUGGAUUUGAGUAAGAGCAUAGCUGUUGGGACCCGAAAGAUGGUGAACUAUGCGUGAAUAGGGUGAAGCCAGAGGAAACUCUGGUGGAGGCUCGCAGCGGUUCUGACGUGCAAAUCGAUCGUCAAAUUUGCGUAUAGGGGCGAAAGACUAAUCGAACCAUUAACUACUACUAGGUGGUUAAGAGGCCGCGGAGACGCGCGCCUAGUCCUCUGGUGAGGGCGACAUUGUCAAAUUGUUCGGGGACGUCCUGUCAACUCCAAGCUACCGCAGCCG
RNAcentral lists this ribosomal RNA (974 nucleotides) under Heterosphaeria linariae. Its description in RNAcentral is "partial large subunit ribosomal RNA". It matches the Rfam family "Eukaryotic large subunit ribosomal RNA", at positions 65 to 1379 of the family's 3401-position model. The record is from RNAcentral. Lineage: Eukaryota; Fungi; Ascomycota; Leotiomycetes; Helotiales; Heterosphaeriaceae.